CGUGGAGGAUGACGCAUUUCGGUGUGUAAACUCCUUUUAUCAAGGAAGAAAAUGACGGUACUUGAUGAAUAAGCACCGGCUAACUCCGUGCCAGCAGCCGCGGUAAUACGGAGGGUGCAAGCGUUAUUCGGAAUCACUGGGCGUAAAGGACGCGUAGGCGGGAUGCCAAGUCUGAUGUGAAAUCCUAUGGCUUAACCAUAGAACUGCAUUGGAAACUGGUGACCUAGAGUAUGGGAGGGGGAGAUGGAAUUAGUGGUGUAGGGGUAAAAUCCGUAGAUAUCACUAGGAAUACCCAAAGCGAAGGCGAUCUCCUGGAACAAUACUGACGCUAAGGCGUGAAAGUGUGGGGAGCAAACGGGAUUAGAUACCCCGGUAGUCCACGCCCUAAACGAUGUUCACUAGUCGUCGGAAUGCUAGUCAUUUCGGUGAUGCACUUAACAGAUUAAGUGAACCGCCUGGGGAGUACGGUCGCAAGAUUA
RNAcentral lists this ribosomal RNA (479 nucleotides) under uncultured Campylobacterota bacterium. Its description in RNAcentral is "bacterial SSU rRNA". It matches the Rfam family "Bacterial small subunit ribosomal RNA", at positions 400 to 896 of the family's 1533-position model. Lineage: Bacteria; Pseudomonadati; Campylobacterota. The record is from RNAcentral.